GACCCCCCGCGGUUUGUGACCCCACCCUGUGCCCUGGGUCAGGCUCCUGGGCUUGAGGAUGUCAGGGGGUGGCAAGGGUGGAGCUUUGUGGUCCCAGGGGGUGGGGAGGACACAGGACACAGCUGUCAGCCCUGAGCAGAGGACACCAGGUAGGGCAGGUGCCUGGUUCUGCUCUGAUUACCCCCAGUCUUCUCAGAAAUGGUCCCCAAGCGCCCCCUAGUGUCCAGACUAAGGCAAACCGUUCUAUGAUCAGGUGACCAGAGCCUCUGAGAUUCAGUGCUUCCUCCCCCCGGCCCCGAGUUCUGGCCACUGCCCCCGCUCUCAAGUCCCGGCCCAGUAAGGUGGCACCUGUGUCUCCCUCCUGUGACCUCAGGGCAGUCUUCACGCUCUACUGGACUCCUCAGGAGUGAAUCUGUCCAUGGCUCUUUGGCUGUACAUUGUAGAGGACUCAGAUUUGCAGUCAGAGUCUUCUGGAUACUGUGACCAGGGAUCUUGCCUAGGAUUCUGUCCUCCAAGCACUGAAUGCCUGUCUGUGGGGAAUCUUUGCAAAUGUCUUUGGAGGGUCUCACUUAUGAGCAAAAAGAGCAAAGAUGAUGGAGUCUUGGUCUGUUCCCCAGGCUGGAGUGCAGUGGCACCAUCCCAGCUAAAUGCAACCUCCGCCUCCCAGGUUCAAGCAAUUCUCCUGUCUCAGCCUCCCAAGUAGCUGGAAUUACAGGCACGUGCCACCAUGCCCGGCUAAUUUUUGUAUUUUUUAAGUAGAGACGGGGUUUCACCAUGUUGGCCAGGUCUCGAACCCCUGACCUUGUGAUCGGCCCACCUCGGACUCCCAAAGUGCUGGGAUUACAGGCAUGGGCCAUUGCACCCGGCCACAAUGAGAUUUUAAAUGCUCCAUUUAAACAACCAAAUAGUGAGAUUUAUUACAGGCAUUUAAUAAAACCAAUCCAUAUCUGUAACCGAAAUAAAAUGUAUGCUGUGUUUUGGGAUUGCA
Molecule: long non-coding RNA, 988 nt
Organism: Symphalangus syndactylus (siamang)
Lineage: Eukaryota; Metazoa; Chordata; Mammalia; Primates; Hylobatidae
Source: RefSeq, a predicted model, not a curated record